Molecule: RNA transcript, 1887 nt
Organism: Momordica charantia (bitter melon)
Lineage: Eukaryota; Viridiplantae; Streptophyta; Magnoliopsida; Cucurbitales; Cucurbitaceae
Gene: ABCI13
Gene name: non-intrinsic ABC protein 11
Source: RefSeq, a predicted model, not a curated record
AACAGGGCUAACGUCUCAUUGCAAGCCCACCUCAUCACGUCACCGCGGCAAGAAUGCGACGGAGAAUCAAUCAGCAAGCACAUCAAGUUUGAGAAUUCUUAACAAUGCUCUGCUCCCAUCUCUGUUCUUUCACGUUUCCAAAUCUUUUUCUGGGCGACCUCUGUAGCAUUUAGCGUUCAUUCUGAAGCACAAUUCGUUAAACCAUCCUCGGUUUAGCUUGAGAUGCAGGAUUUAAUCGGCUUUUGAGGGGGUUUUGUUCAAAAUCCUAUCUGGGUUCUUCGAAUUUAUGAAGUUUCGAUUGCAUUGAAACUAAAUUAGUACGAAACUGUUUUUGAGCUGGUUACUAUCGCGGGUCAGCUUCAAAAUCACGAAGUUCGUUUACCCUCUAACGGGUUGACUCCGGAAACAUGGUUUCUAUAUCGGGUUCGGUGUUGUUCCCAUUAACUGCACCCAAUUGUUCCUCUGGAUCGCGUAAAGUAGCUGUUCUUGAUGCGUCCAAUUCGUUUUGUUUUAAGAAAAAGGAGCAGAGGAGGAUUGUUUGUAAUUGCAUUGCGCCACCGCCGUACUUCAAGAGUGAUGAGUCAUCUGCCGUAAAUUCCAAUGACUCGUUUAGAUCAGAAAAUUUAAUCCCAGAUAAUGAGCAUGAGGAUGAGUCUGAUGUUCUCAUCGAGUGUAGAGAUGUCUACAAAUCCUUUGGGGAAAAGCAUAUACUGAGAGGUGUGAGCUUCAAGAUUAGACAUGGAGAAGCCGUGGGAGUAAUUGGGCCUUCUGGUACUGGGAAGUCUACAAUACUGAAGAUCAUUGCCGGUCUUCUUGCUCCAGACAAGGGUGAGGUAUAUAUUCGAGGUAGAAAGCGAGUUGGUUUGAUCGAUGAUGAGGAGAUAUCUGGUCUUCGAAUUGGAUUGGUUUUUCAAAGUGCAGCCCUUUUUGACUCAUUAACUGUUCGAGAAAAUGUUGGUUUCCUUUUGUAUGAAAAUUCAAGCUUGUCUGGAGAUCAAAUCUCAGCUCUGGUAACUGAGAAUUUAGCUGCUGUUGGGCUGAAGGGAGUUGAGGAUCGGUUACCUUCUGAAUUAUCAGGUGGAAUGAAGAAACGAGUUGCUUUAGCUAGGUCUAUAAUCUUUGAUAACACAAGGAAAGAAAUUGAGCCAGAGGUACUCUUGUAUGAUGAACCAACUGCUGGACUCGAUCCAAUUGCAUCAACUGUCGUUGAAGAUCUUAUCCGUUCUGUACAUAUUAAGGGCGAAGAUGCUAGCGGGAAGCCCGGAAAUAUUGCGUCCUAUAUUGUAGUCACCCACCAACAUAGUACCAUUAGGAGAGCUGUUGACAGGUUAUUGUUUUUAUACGAGGGGAAAGUUGUCUGGCAAGGAAUGACUCAUGAAUUUACUACAUCAACAAAUCCGAUUGUUCAACAGUUUGCAUCGGGAAACUUGGACGGUCCAAUUAAGUACUAGCAGCAGUAACACUAAUGAUCAUGUACUUUUAGAUUAGACACAGCACCAUUCCUAAUUCUUUGGAGGCAGCAGAGUAGACCCAGAGAAGCUCAUGGUUCAAAGAAAGGGUGGGGUAUUGAUAAAAAUCAAUUCCAAAUCACAAUUGUCAAGGCUCACGCUACAACAUGAGUUCGAACAACUGGAAACAGAUUUGAAUACAGAAAGAGAUUCGUACCAGUUGCAUUUACUUUCCCAUUUGCUUAGUAACAAACAGACAGCUAUAUUUACUCAUUUACGAAGGCUUACCUCAAAUUCGAUCCCCUUAUGAUUGCUUCCACUUGAAGAGUAUUACUUGCACUUGCACCAUAAGUACUAGACUUUGAUAAAGUAAUGGGGAGUUAACAUUAUUUCAAAGUAUUUUUGUUCCUUUUUUUGUUCACUUUGAAGCAUAUGGGAA